CUCUCGUAUCAUGAAGUUGUUGACUGCUCUGCGGCUAGAUAAACCAAGUGUCCUCAGCCUCUCCUCAGGCGAAGUACCCUCUGGCCCUUUUAUCCGCUUUGCUGCCUACCUCUGCGCACUUUCAAGGAGCCAAACAUCAUUUUUAAUUGUGGAUUCCAGAACUGCAUGCAGUAUUCAAGGGCCAGAGUAAUCCCAAGAAAACAGAAGAUACUCUGAAAACACAGAUGUUAUUCAGUCCACUGGAAAUCAUCUCCCCAAGAGAUCUAUACUUCACCUCAGUAAGGUUGAGUUAGCCUUCAAAAAUACACAGAAGGAAAUAAAAGCCUCAGAGAGGUAGCAAAUCCAGCUAAGCCACAAAUGAGUCAACAUGUCCGUUAAGAUGCAUUGACUUUCCAUCCAUUUACAUUUAGAGACGAGGGGAACAAAAAAGACCUUUCAGUCCAGCUCUGUGUUCUGAGAUUUUGUGUCAGCAGCAUGUGGAAUUUCCUUCGGUCACUUAAUGUCAUCAUAUCGUAUAGGCAACAGCACUCGGGACAGCACAGCAGCGCUGCUUUAUGGCUGCAGGGCCACCAGUUGAAAAUUCAUCUGAAACGUGACUUCAGCAGUGCAAAUGCUCAACUUGUUGUUACGGUGUCCUAGGAAGAUCUGGUACCAAGAGAAGAACAUAUGAAGCAGAACUGCUUUCCCUUCUUUUCCUCCCUGCAAGAUGCUGAGUGAAGAGGUAAGUACAAAUUUUUCUUAUCAGUGUUGCUGCAAGCUUUAUGUAUUUGGAUGAUGUGUAGCUGUUGGUGAGGAUUAUAUUCUGUCUCUGAACAGAAUGCUUUGGGAUAAAAAAAAAAAUCUGAUAAAUUAGGAAACAAAUGUGAGAAAUUCAAAUUUAAAAACUUAUCUGCAUGAGAUAAACUUUCAUUGAGAAUUGUUUCUAAGUCUGAAAUAGAACAAAUACUGCAUCUUUUUGCUAGGAGUCUUCAGGGUUAGGAAUGGUUGCUUCCAUCCAUACAUACAGUAAGAAUCUUUAAUUACAUCUUUUCACUUUCUGAGGAUUUGGAUAUAAGUAAAUGACAGUGGAAAGAGCGUGUUUCACACAUUCUGUGACUGAACUGGUUUUCUCCACAGGAGAAAAAAACAAUAGUUUUAAACAUGAAGGGUUUUAUUUUUAGCAUUCACACUAAAUGUGAAAUUUAGAAUGGGAUAUAAGUUUUUUAUUAAAGGCUACUUACAAUUUCUUUUUAGUCUGUCAAGAGAAUUCAGAGGAAAAUAUUGAGGCCUAGUCUUUUGAAUGGAUUUCAGGAUUUUUCACUCUUAUCCAUGCAAGAAUUAUACCUUUUUUAUAAGUUUUAACUUAGAGAAUGGUCUUUAAUGUCUAGUCUAAGCUAUUCAUCCAAUCUACUGCUUAAAUUAAGAGGAAAAGAUUCCUCAGUAACAAUUGUUCCAAGCCACUUUAAGGGCCCUUGCCUUGUUUUCUCCAUUGAAAGAAGAAGCUGUAUCAUAGAUUACAUGAACAUAAUCUUUUUAGGAGGCUGCAGUCUGAUUAGAUAAUUCUUGUUCUAAAUUACAACUGAAACCAGGGAAGCAGAGUUUGUAUUACAUAAUUUUAAUCACCUAUAAGCAAGAUGUCUAAGCCAAGAUGACCUCUUAGGUCCCCUUUUUAGUCAGUGGACAAAGGCUGAUAUCUUCAGAGAUCUGACAGGUGAUACUGACUCUGACCAUGAAUGGUGAUUAUUAUGUGAUUUACUCUAUGAAACCUUUCUGUUAAUUUGGAAAUAAGAAGAGCCUUGUAAUGUCUCACAGAUGGAGCCAUAACAUUUCCUAGCCUUGAGAUAUAAUGAACCAAUUGUGUACUAUGCUGCCUGGACUUUAUUCUUGGUCAGGAAAAAUAGAUGAAAAAGCACAGAGAUUAAAGACUUUUUUUUCCCUUUCCAUAGUCAUUGAAAAUGCAAAAGAUCACAAGUGAAAGUUAAACUACAGAGCUGAUCCCUAGGAAUCAGAAAUGAAAGGCUGUUUCCUUUCUUCUGUCCUAAAGAAGCUUAGACGAUUUAGGAAAACAAUCUAGUACCAUUUGCACCACAAAGUAGUUAAGUGAAAAGCUGUUAUGAAAAAAACGCAGUUUUGUAUGUGGAUGUUGUUGAUGUAUGUCCUUCAUUCUCAAGGAUUAUUAGUGAGUUUUGAUCAGAACUUUUUGGUUGAGUUAUUUAAAUUUAUGUUUCCUUACAGUUUUGAGUAAUAUUUGCCAUCCUAAAUGAACUCUUUGUGUCAGAAAAUUGUGAUGACGUACAGUGCCAAGAUAGCUUUCUAUUCCAUAAAAAGUAGUUGUAAAUAAGGUAGGACCAAGAGACAAUCAAAACUGAAUUUCUGAAUGAUCUCCUUAUCCUAAGGAACUUAUCCCAGUUAUAAUUAUGCCUACUGUAAAGCAAAACAGAGUAAAUUUCACCAUCAGAGGACAUUGUUUUCUCACUGAUCUCAUUUCCACUGUUCUUUUCUGUAGACAUAUUUUAGGAAGAGAAGGUGCAAUACAUCUCAGAUAUAUUUCUUCAAUUUCAACCGCUGUUGAUCUAUAAGUACCAAAUAUUUCUUCCAGUGUUUUUUAGGUGUUAGGGAUCCCUUGACAUAGAACAGUGUGUGGCUGGCAUUGAGGUAAAGUAGGGUGAAUGUAAAAAGUGGACAACUCUGUUUUACAUUUCUUUUCAGUUAUUGUAAAUGUAUGUCUCAAUGUAAGAUAUAUAUAUUUAUUUUAUUUUAUUUUUCAUUUUUAAGGGGGGGGAUGCUGAGGGAGAUUAUUAAGUUUGAUCUCAUUUCAAGCAUAACAAGUAAUACAAAAGCCUUUCAGGGGAAAAGCAUGUACAUGCCAUGAACUGGAAAUGAAUGUUUUUUUUCUGAUUCAGUGACAAUCCAUUUCCAUGUUUAUAGAUUUGCUGCUAUAAACGAUGUCUUCUGAAAGGUUAUUUUUAAAAUGUAAUCUGUUAUCUUAAGUUGGAAACAUGUUACAUUGUUUUUUGAUCUUACACAUAGACAAAAAAGAAAUUGUCAAGGUAAGGGUAAGAAUUGGAAGGUGAGAAUACUUUUUCAUAGGGUGCUGCAUUUUCUUAGAAUUCUGUGUAGCUAGUGAUGACAGGAGAUUCAAAGUCUCAUUAUCUUCUGAAUUUUUUUCAUUCCAUUUCUUCUGAAUAUUGUAAGGUACAUUUAUUAACUCAGAGAGCUUGCCUGUCUUUGGAGGUCAGUUUUUCAAUAUAGCAUGAAGCUGCAGAUUUGGCUAAAGUCAGAGAAGGUGAUAAACACUAACAAGAAAGUUGCCACUCUCAUUCUAGUUAGGUGUUGUGGGUUUUUUUUUUUUUUUUAUUGCUUGUUUCUUUUUUUUUUUUAAUUUUGUUUGGUUUGGUUGUGUUUAUUUGUUUGUUUCUUUGUUUGUUUUUUGUACUAUGCAGAGUUGAAAGACCAGAAAUAUCACAAAGCUUAACUUUCUACAGCUGAAUGUCCCGUUUCUGUGCUGUCAUGGAUGUCUAUAUGAAAGGGUCUUAUAGGGCCCCUCAAAGUCAUAGAAUAACAGUGCACUGGAGAGAUUUGGAGCUCUGAAAUUACUGUCAUUUUACCAACUCUUUACUUAACAAAUACAAGGCCAUUUGUGGCACAGCAGAAAGUUCUCUUAUAAUUGACUACAUUUAGUCUAGCCUGAGAAAAUCCAAAUCCACCUGUAUAAAUUCAUGGAAUAUCCUAAAUAAAGUGUUUACAGGCAAAAUAAAUGGCUUGCAAAAUUAGAGUGUAUGUGCAUGAUGCUAUAAAUGCUCAUGGUUUUUCAUAUUAUUUAAUAAAGCUGUUAAGUCUAAUUUACUUGAUGUAGACCACUGGUAAUGAUAAGUUAAUGUUACAUUUUUUUGGAAUUAGAAUAUGAAGUGCUCCAUUCCAGUUGAAAGAAAAAAUGAAAAAACUGUUAAAUUUGUCAUUGAGUGAUAUACUCAUUAUUAAAUCCUACUAUCUAUAAAGUGUUAAGUCAAAUGUGCCUUUAGGAAUAAAUUAUUUCAUCAAUAAAACUCUGCCUCCUUAUAGCAACACUAUGUCUAAUAAUGAGUUAAAGCUUUACCCUACUGUGCUUUCUAAUGUAAUGAAUGUGCUUCUUCAUCAUAUUUAUGCAUAAUAACUCCCUUUCUGUGUCUUUCUGGGUAAGGAUUUUGCUAGCACUGCAUUGCAGGGUAGGAAGGAUGUUGUCUUUUAGUUAUGAAGUGAAAUGUCUGACUGAAGUGUUCUUUUUGCUGCAUAUACACAGACACAUCAACUUCUUUAAGACAGAGUAGAAACAUUACACAUACACUAGCAACAUUGAAUCACAUGGAGAAUAAAUUUGGACUAGUCAUUCUUGAAAGAGCUAACAGGAGCUUUACUGUAUUUUUCUGAGGAAUUUUGCUCCUUUCUACCUAUAGUCAGGACUUGAUCUUCCACCUCCAUAAACCUGCUGAAGGUUUUGGAAUGUCUGUGGCAGGCCUCACCUCAGCUUGUUUCAUCCAACUGUUUCCUAAACGAGAUUUUAUAAUUCAGCUCCACACUAAAAAUGACAAAAUUAUCGAAGCAGACAGAGCUAUGUGAAACAUGCAAGAGAAACUAAUUCAUUUUUGUCUGUCAAAUAUUUUGAUAUUCUGAAGCCAUCCUAUCAUAACCUGAUUGCAUAGUGCUUGUUGUUGGUUUAUUGUUUAUUUGUUUUGCUUUGGGUUUAUUUCAGAACUGUUUUAGGAACAUACCAUGAUGGUAGUUUAUCACCAGAGUAAAGAAGUUGCCUGUUAGGAAUACAUUUACAAAAUUGGUUUUGAAAAAUGCAAGUCUGUGAAGCCAGAGUCCUACACUUUGCCAGCCUACGUAGAGUUUAGUUUAUCAGUGAUGAAAGGAUUAUUGUAAACAAUAGAAACUGUCGUGGAAAUCACACUUCACAAAAUUGUUGCCAACUUGAAACUGUGGUUUGAAGAUUGAAGACCAUUCAGCUCUUUCGUUACUCAACUCAACUCAAAAUUACAUAUUAAUGAAAGUGCAGUUUUCUAUUAUGGUAUAAAAAUAGAGCUGUUUCAUAAAUUUCUGCACCAUUUUAGUUAGUAUUGUUCUGCAUUAUAAAUGUAACUAAGAUGCCCUUAAUAGCAACAAAUUUGCUGAAGACAUCCAUUCAGCUGAUAAAAUAUUUCUUGUAGGAAAAAAAAACCAAACAAUUUUCAAGACAUGUAACUACAUAUGGUGGACUUUCUAAACUUUUUCUUUAAAAUAUGAUGGUAUUACUCCUAUUUUUUCUGUUAGAUUAGAGAUAACAGAAAAACAUCAGAACAACCGUUUGAACGCCUAACCAAAACUGCUAGCAGAAAAGAAAGAAACAAAGUUUUCUUAAUGGCGUCUUUUAUCAUUCUCUUGAAAUCUGUGUUGUAUCAUUUUUAUUAGCUGGUUGUACCUAAUCUUUCAGGUGCUCACUGUAGGGUUAAUUUUUUACUGGGAGGAUUCUGUAAUACUUGCACACAUGGAAUGUUUUCCCAUAUAAAAAUAGACUCUGAUCUGCUGAUCCAAAUUAUUCCCCUCUAUGCAUGUAGCAUUCCAAUGAUGUUAAUGGAAUUGCUCAAGUAAAGGCUGCUCAUGGGGCACCUGGGAACACUAGUCUGUAUUUUGUGGGGAGAUUAAAAAUAUCACUUUGUCAGUAUUGCUUAAUAUGUAAAACAUGUUAUGCAAAACCCAGUGCUCAGGGGAACAACAUAAAUUUCACUUUUAUAUUCCCAUUAUGCCAGGAGCUUUGCCAACUCAUAAGCAAAAAUAUGUUCUUCUGUGCUCUUUGAAUAUAAAACAGGCAGCAUACUUGGGAAAAAAAAAAGCAUCUCUGGAGUUGUGUGACCUACUGAUUUGAGUGUUUAUUUUGGGAAAGAAUUCCUCAAAGGAAAAAAUUUCCUCCUUUUGUGUUAGGAUCUUCAUCAGACCUUAACUUAUCUAAGAGUCUUUUGCAUUCUUAUCUGGUGGUUUAUUUAGUUUUCCCUACCCACUCUAGAUUUCUGAGACAAUAUUCAGAGAUGAUAUAUCAUGUAAUUUUUCUCCAGUGACAUUUUCAUAAUCAAAAAAUAGGUCACUAUGAAUUGAUUAGCAAGAAAGAGAACUAUGAAUUGAUUAGCAAGAAAGAGAGAAGUAAAACUUGGAAAAAAAUCUAGAUAUUAAUAUUUGCCAACUCUUUCAUCUUCUUAAUGUGUUAAAAAUAUGUAAAGAGACAUACUUCUUCAAAUGUAUAUGGAGAUUAUUAUCAACAGAUGUGCUCAAGCUCAAUUUAAGAAUUUGUUGAAAGAAAUGAGAAUCUUUUUUUUUUUUUUUUUGUGAGUCAUUUUUUGGAUAAUUAUUAUUUUGAAUCCAGGUUUAUGAACUUUGGCUCUUCACAUAGUCAUCAUCAGUCAGGAACAUUCUAUAGCAGAAGAACUAUAAAUACAGAUAUGAAAAUCAACAUUACUACUGUCUAAUCUGAAUAUGUUUCCUCUUACACAGAUUUCAUUUUCUUUCAACUCUAAAAUUUGUGGAACAAUGUAAGGCAUUAUGCAGAUUAUGGAAGAUCCAGAGAAACUGCACUGGAUUAGUUUUAACUUGGGUUUUCCAUGCAGUAUGCAAGACUACAGCUGUUCAGUUGUACAGUCAUGUGUAAAACACCACUUCUCAGUGACAUUACAUCUAAUAUUUAUUUACUAGUCAGAAUGGAAACACUGAUUCCUACUUUACAGCUCUUGCAAACUACUUAUAUACAGCAUCAGAUUAUUUAUUCCAGUGUGGACCAGCACCAUGAAUCUGGGUAGAUAUGGCUUGUCUUGUCAGUGUCCUCUGGGGCUGGAUAAUGGCCCAGCCUCUACAUGUGCUGGUUCCACCGCAAGUUUAGCUUUCAGUAUGACACAUCACAUCAUCAUCAAAUUAUUCGUAUUACAAACUAUCUUCCUUUUCAUACCAUCUGACACAUUUCUUCCCUCCAUUUAUUUUCAGAUCUGAUUAAAAAAAAAUAAUAAUAAAUUUAAAAGAAACAGAAACACAUCCAGAGACACAUUUCAAAUUGUCAACUGUUUGUUUCAUGCCAGGCUUUUCAGAUAUGUUUAACCCGUAUUGGGAUACUGAGUGAUGCAGUAAUUGUAUUGUCACAACAUGUUUUGAUGAAAAGAAAACUAAGUAUGAUAACUUCAAAGCAGUAAGGGCUGCUACAUCACUAACAUAGGGCAGUUUUUGGUGUGAUAAAAACUUAAAAUUGUGUUUGGUCCCCUCUUGGUAAAUUCCUGUAUGCAGACAUACAAAUACACCAUUUUUUUCCACUAUGCAGCUGCAGUCUCUUGUUGAGGAAUUCAAGAUCCUGUAAACCCUCUUACUUGCAGCUCCAUUUAGUAGUUUCCUGUUUCUUUGUUAUCCAGAACAGUUUGUCUUGUGUGCCCUGUGGAUACUUUCACCUUUACUUCUGGAGUCAGACUUUGGUAAAUAUUAUAGGCAUAUUAGUGUAAUUAACACAGUAUUUUUGCAUACAAUGCUGUUUAUUA
Molecule: long non-coding RNA, 7502 nt
Filed under: Gallus gallus (chicken)
Lineage: Eukaryota; Metazoa; Chordata; Aves; Galliformes; Phasianidae
Source: RNAcentral